Molecule: long non-coding RNA, 2358 nt
Organism: Siniperca chuatsi (mandarin fish)
Lineage: Eukaryota; Metazoa; Chordata; Actinopteri; Centrarchiformes; Sinipercidae
Exons: 3
Source: RefSeq, a predicted model, not a curated record
UCAACCACAAUCUCCACCUACAGCCUCUGCCAGCAUCCUGCAGCUUCCUCCACCUCCAGAUUCUGGCAGACAGCUGUAGCCCAAACCUGCUCCUACAGCCUCUGCCAACAUUCUGCAGCUUCCUCCACCUGCAGAUUCUGGCAGACAGCUGAGGCAUCAUUCUUCUUCUGCCACCAACCUACACCCCCUCCAUCUACAGCCUCUGCCAGCAACCUGCAGCCGUGGCCUCCACCUGCAGAUUCUCUUAGACAGCCUAAGCCUCAACCUCCACCUACAGCCUCCGCCAACAUCCUGCAGCUCCCUCCACCUGCAGAUUUAGGCAGACAGCUGAGGCCUCAUCCUCCACUUGAAACGUGAACCUCCACGUACAGCUUCCUCCAGCAUCCUGCACCUCCUCCUCCAACUGUGGAUUCCGUCCUCUACUUACAUUCUCUUCCAGCAACCUGCAGCAACUGCUUCCACCUGCAAAUUCUUGCAGAGUGCUGCAACCAAUUUCUCCACCUACAGGCGCUUCCGUCUCCUGCCUGCAACCUCUGCCAGCAACUGGCACCUCCUCCUCCACCUACAGAUUCUGGCAGACAACUGAGGCCUCAACCUUCAUCUACAGCCUCUGUCAGCAUCCUGCAGCUUCCUCCACCUGCAGAUUCUGGCAGACAGCUGGGGCCUGAACCUACACCAACAGCCUCUGCCAGCAACCUGCACCUCCUCCUCCUCUGCCUCUGGAUUCUGUCGGACAUCUGCAAUCCAAAGCUCCACCUAUAGCCUCUUCCAGCAACCUGCAGCAACCACCUCCACCUGCAGAUUUUUGCAGAUAGCUGCAACCGAUUCUUCCAUCUCCUGCCUGCAGCUUCUGCCAGCAACCUACACUGCCUCAUCCGCCUGAAGAUUCUGAAGUGCAAACGUCCGUCUCCAUCCUCUGCCAACAACCUGCACUGCUACCUCCACCUGCACAUUUGUGAAGACAUCUACAGCCCGAAGCUCUACCUACAGUCUUCUCCAGCAACCUGCAGCUUCCUCCACCUGCAGAUUCUUGCAGACAGCUAAGUGACCCCCACCUCAUACCUCCACCAGCAACCAUCUUCUCCCGCCUCCACCUGCAGAUUCUUGCAGACAGCCAUUCCCAGACCUCCACCUAUGACUUUUGCCAGCAUCCUGCAGCACCGACCUCCACCUGCAGUUUCUGGCAGACCACCAGAACUUGAACCUCCACCUACAGUCUCAUUCAGCAACCUUCACUGCUAACUCCACCUACAGUCUCUGCAAGCAGCCUGCAAUCUCUGCUUCCACAUGCAGAUUAUGCCAAAGAGAUGCAGCUCAACCUCCACAUCCAGCUUCCUACUGCUCCUGCCUUCAGCUUAUAACAACAACCUAUAGCCACAUGUGCUCACUCUGGCAGGCAUAUGUAGCCUGAACCUCCACCUACAGGCUCUGCCAGCAACCUGCAUCCACCGCGUCCACCUGCAAACAGCUGAAGCGCCUCACUCCACCUGAAACCUCUGCCACUUAUAGCUUCUUCCAGAUCCAACCUCUUCCUCCAGCCCACAGUAACCAUCUGCUCCUCCAGUCACUGCCUGCAACCUAUGGCAGUAACCAUCAACCCCUAGCCUCCACCUGCAGUUUCUGGCAUACAGCAGUUCUUUUACCCUCCUUCAGCCACCAGCAGUAAACUGUAGCAUCAGCCUCCACCUGCAUUUCCUGCCAGACAUAUGAAGCAAACAGAUGACAACCAGAUACAGCUCCACCUCCCACCUACAGUCCACCUACACAAGCUGCAGCCCCAACUUCAUCAGCAAACAUCAGCUGGUGGAUCAGUGGUGUUCCUAAAGGCGUCAUCAGACAGUCCCUGGGUCAGGUGCCAAUCACGGUGAAGUCCAACCUGUGUAACCUGCAUGGCAUGUCCCCCAAAGAGCUCAUAGAACACAAUGAAGAAGCUGAGGAAACUAUAUCCAGAGCUAAGUCAAGUGGAUGUGACCAUUUCCACUGUCUUCACCUUGAACAGCAGCAAUGAAUCCUCAUUUGCUUCUCCCUCUUCACUGUAUUCCUCCUCAUCCUCCACUUUAAUCACAACUGCUGCUUCUCUCCAAAAACUCUUCACGUGGAUCCUUAUACUCUCCGGUUUAAGCCCCCCCAACAUGUCCCUGACCUUUGACCUCUCUAUUGCAGGGAGGAUAGAGAGAACAGAACUCCGUUAAGAGGAUCAAUUAAGUAUCAGCCUCAUUAUUCUGUUCUCAACUCAACUUACUUGAUGAAAAGCAAGACUGUAGUUAUAAAGUGUUGUCAGCAAGUGUGUGGAUUGUAUUUGUGAACUGUUGAAAUAAAAGUGGAGCAGACUGUACAAAGUGUGUUUUUAAAUUAUUA